UGCUAGACACCUUCAUAAAUUUAAAAACAAAAAUGUCAAAUUUUCUUUAUAAAUUUAUAGUAGAUUGUCAAUGUUUUUUUAUUAAGCAUAGUAACAGUAGUGGGAGAGUAUAUUGAAGCCCUACGGAAUUUAAUGUUGUUUUGUUUAGCCUCACUCCAUGAUACAGGCUGGCCUCAAACCUGCAGCAAUCACCAUGCCUUAGCUUUCUGAGUCUUGGGCUCAUUGGCACCUGCUAGUAUGCUUGGCUGGGGCAAGAAUGUGGAAGCCUGUAAAGAUGUCUGCCAACCUCACUGAAAGAUAUCCAAGCUAACCUUACAAACACAGGGCAGAGACACACAGGCCACUCUGUGGUUCUAGUGACAGCUCGAAACAGUAGUAACCUAAACAUCCACCAACAGAGGGAACAGAAGGCUGCUGAAUACUCUGGAAUACUGUAAAACUGCAAACAAGUGACUGAGAAAAUCACCCCCAACAUGGAACUCACAAUGAGAAAAACACAGCAAACUGUACUAAGAUAUAUACAGCAUGAGUGUCUCGUGUAACAUUUGAAAACAAACAACAGGGACAGUCCUUAUUAUUAGAAUCUGGUCUAUUCCUACACGUAAUAGAAUAUAAAAUUUUAGGUAGCAGAACCUACAUGACAUUAUUGAAAAUAGGAAAAACUAUAUUAUGUCCUUGAUUCAUUCCAAAUCUCUCUAUCCUGCAAACUGUUUAAUCACUAUUAGAUACUCACGUAACUAUCUACCUGCUUUAAGCUCUGCCAAACUGAGAAUACUGCAUAAGACUUUCCAAUGACUAUACAAUAUACACUCCUCUCACUUAUAUAGCACUGGUCAACAGACCUUGUUUUGUUUUUCAAGACAGGGUUUCUCUGUGUAGCCCUGGCUGUCCUGUGGCUUCAGAGGCAACACCUGGAAAAGCAGUACUAAUUCAACACUUUGUCUAAUUGCCAUAUUUCAUUUUCUCAUCAGACAUUUGUCAGAAUAAAUGACAAAUAAGUUAUUUAUUCAUAAGUACAUCAUACAGAUCUAGGCUCUAAGAAAUUAGCAAUAUUAACAUUGAUAGCUGUUAGCUUUUUCUCGUCUACACCGAUGCACCAAACUAAUCUGUAUAACAAACUAGUAAGGUCACUGUACUGUCUGCCUCAGAAUACACGUAUAUUUCAUAUCCAAACACACUCGCUCACAUCAGAAAGAGAAACAAUAAAUCUAUGUUAUUAUGAACUUAGGAAGCAAUUGACAUGGCUUCAAUUCUGUGCAGCAUUAAUACUUUCUUCCUGAACAGGCAAAUGCAUAAAACCAAAGAUGACAACACUAUUUCCAAAAGUCUCUUCAUAGAGAUAAUAAUGAUCUUUGACAGAUGGGAACAAAUAUAAAGACAGUUUGGGUUUCAGAAAGUCUUAGUCAAGAUCAGUCAUCCUAUUUAACUGGCUCCAAUGUAGGCUGUAGCCCAUCUAUAGUGCCAUGUAGCACACAUGUACAUCUAUAGUGCCAUGAAGAGCCCAAGGCUGAGGAUGUAAAGUCUGCCAUACCCACAAUGCCUCAGAAGCAGCAAGAUAACAAGUUAAAUACUGCUAGCAGAACACUUGGUUGUCUUUUCUUUUCUUUUUCUUGAUGAGCUAGGGUUUCUAAUAAUAUAGGCUGGCCUCAAGAUAAGGAUGACCUUGAAUAAUUCUCCAUUUCUGAAGUGCUAUGAUUAUAGCCUUGUAUCACAAUGUCCCAUCCCUACAGAGACUGUUAAAAGUAAAAACAGAAAGCAAAGACUCAAUUACCCUCCUUCCACAGUAACUGGUCAACACUGCCCUCUGGUGAUACAACGGAAUAAACAAGGCAACAUCUUUUACUUUGAUUUCAGUUAUGUACCUGCAUCUCUUUGGAUGCACAUCUCACCAAGGACAAAAAGAGAUUUAAAAUGGCCUUCAUUAUGUAUUGUUCAUAACGUUAGAAACUUCAAAAAAAGUUUGAAAUCAAAGACUCUGGAAACAUGCUAUAGAAGACACACAUCACUAUGUAGUAAAUUACAUUUCCACAUAAAACGUGAUUAAGAAAGACCCUGAAGGCAAAUGUCCUAAAGUUAAAAGCACAGGAGGACAACAAGAAAGGUCUUAUCAUGU
RNAcentral lists this long non-coding RNA (2113 nucleotides) under Mus pahari (shrew mouse). RNAcentral's name for it is "lncRNA (MGP_PahariEiJ_G0006334.1)". The record is from RNAcentral. Lineage: Eukaryota; Metazoa; Chordata; Mammalia; Rodentia; Muridae.